This 400-nucleotide ribosomal RNA is filed under the name phytoplankton environmental sample. RNAcentral's name for it is "partial small subunit ribosomal RNA". It matches the Rfam family "Eukaryotic small subunit ribosomal RNA", at positions 587 to 990 of the family's 1831-position model. The record is from RNAcentral.
AGCUCCAUUAGCGUAUAUUAAAGUUGUUGCAGUUAAAAAGCUCGUAGUUGGAUUUCAGUACGGGCCAGUUGGUCGGCCGCAAGGCCUGUUACUGGCUGGUCUGUUCUUCUUGUCAAAGACUGCUUGUGCUCUUCGUUGAGUGUGCGUAGGAUUUGGGACGUUUACUUUGAAAAAAUUAGAGUGUUCAAGGCAGGCCUUUCAGCUUGAAUACAUGAGCAUGGAAUAAUGGAAUUGGACUACGGUCCCUAUUUCGUUGGUUUCGAGGACCGAAGUAAUGAUUAAGAGGGACAGUUGGGGGCAUCCGUAUUUCAUAGUCAGAGGUGAAAUUCUUGGAUCUAUGAAAGACGAACAACUUCGAAAGCAUUUGCCAAGAGUGUUUUCAUUAAUCAAGAACGAAAGU